CCUACGGGAGACUGCAGUGGGGGAUAUUGCACAAUGGGGGGAACCCUGAUGCAGCGACGCCGCGUGGGUGAAGGAGCGUUUCGGCGCGUAAAGCCCUAUCGGCAGGGAAGAAGGAGGACGGUACCUGACUAAGAAGCCCCGGCUAACUACGUGCCAGCAGCCGCGGUAAUACGUAGGGGGCAAGCGUUAUCCGGAUUUACUGGGUGUAAAGGGGGCGCAGACGGCAGCGCAAGCCAGGAGUGAAAGCCCGGGGCCCAACCCCGGGACUGCUCUUGGAACUGCGCGGCUGGAGUGCAGGAGGGGCAGGCGGAAUUCCUGGUGUAGCGGUGAAAUGCGUAGAUAUCAGGAGGAAAACCGGUGGCGAAGGCGGACUGCUGGACUGCGACUGACGUUGAGGCCCGAAAGCGUGGGGAGCAAACAGGAUUAGAUACCCCAGUAGUC
RNAcentral lists this ribosomal RNA (441 nucleotides) under uncultured bacterium. Its description in RNAcentral is "partial 16S ribosomal RNA". It matches the Rfam family "Bacterial small subunit ribosomal RNA", at positions 338 to 795 of the family's 1533-position model. The record is from RNAcentral.